AUGCUUGCCCAUGCCUCUGGUUUGAAAAGUGCCUCAUUUAGUCCUCUAACUUCUAUAGAGUUGUCUGAAGACUUUUCUUCCAUCAGCUGCCAACAGCUCCAGGGAGCCACAGCACAGAAAGGGACAGGAGAGUCACGGCAGGCUCUCAGCCAUGCAAGCAGUUUGUAUGCGUCACACCCAUCUCUUCAGAAAUUCAAUUCCAGAGAAGGGGAAACCUGAGAAGAGGAGGACAACAGCAUGAGGAAAAGAGGCUGAUUGUAGGCCUGCCUUCAAUGCACACAACAAACCUCCAAGAAAUCAGUCACUGGCAGACCAGGGAUGGAGAUAUUUCACAAACAAGAAAAAAACUCAAGAGUGCUCAAUCCUCAUCCAAAAGGCCAGGUAGGUUUAUUUACAGCUGUGUCAAGCUGUCGAAGUUCAUUUUGCCAAUGAAAGCCAUCUCUUCUAUUAAGUGCUAGAAGCUUCAUUUUAAAUAGUGAGACCUUUGGAAAAUCACAGAAUCAUAGAACGGCAUGGGUUGAAAAGGACCUUAAAGAUCAUCUAGUUUCAACCCCCCUGAUCUGGGCAGGGUUGCCAACCACUAGAGCAGGCUGCCCAGAGUUGCAUCAAGCCUGGCCUUGAAUGUCUCUAGGGAUGCAGCACCCACAACCUUCCUGGGCAACCCGUUCCAGUGCCUCACCACCCUCUGAGUGAAAAACUUUCUCCUAAUUUCCAACCUAAAUCUCCCUUGUCUUAGUUUAAAACCAUUCCCCCUUGUCCUAUCACUACCAACAUAUGUAAACAGGCAUUCCCCCUCCUGUUUAUACGCUCCCUUCAAGUACUGGAAGGCCGCAAUCUUCUGGAGCCUUCUCUUCUCCAAGCUAAACAAUCCCAGUUCCCUCAGCCUUUCUGCAUAGGAGAGGUGCUCCAGCCCUCUGAUCAUCUUAGUGGUCCUCCUCUGGACCCAUUCUAAGAGCUCCACAUCCUUCUUGUGCUGGGGGCCCCAGGCCUGCACACUGUAUUCCAGGUGGGGUCUCACAAGAGCAGAGUAGAGGGGGACAAUCACCUCCCUCUCCCUGCUGGCCACCCCUUUUUUAAUGCAGCCCAGGACAUAGU
RNAcentral lists this long non-coding RNA (1095 nucleotides) under Anser brachyrhynchus (Pink-footed goose). Its description in RNAcentral is "lncRNA (ENSABRG00000012837.1)". The record is from RNAcentral. Lineage: Eukaryota; Metazoa; Chordata; Aves; Anseriformes; Anatidae.